Molecule: ribosomal RNA, 253 nt
Filed under: uncultured bacterium
Lineage: Bacteria
Description: partial 16S ribosomal RNA
Rfam family: Bacterial small subunit ribosomal RNA
Source: RNAcentral
UACGUAGGUGGCGAGCGUUGUCCGGAUUUAUUGGGCGUAAAGCGCGCGCAGGCGGUGCGGUAAGUCUGUCGUGAAAUCUCCCGGCUCAACUGGGAGGGUGCGGUGGAGACUGCCGGACUGGAGGCACUCAGAGGCCGGUGGAAUUCCCGGUGUAGUGGUGAAAUGCGUAGAUAUCGGGAGGAACACCAGUGGCGAAGGCGACUAUCUGGGCUGCAACUGACGCUGAGGCGCGAAGGCUAGGGUAGCAAACAGG